Molecule: ribosomal RNA, 511 nt
Filed under: uncultured bacterium
Lineage: Bacteria
Description: bacterial SSU rRNA
Rfam family: Bacterial small subunit ribosomal RNA
Source: RNAcentral
GAUUAUGGCUCAGGAUGAACGCUAGCUACAGGCUUAACACAUGCAAGUCGAGGGGCAGCAUGACCUAGCAAUAGGUUGAUGGCGACCGGCGCACGGGUGAGUAACACGUAUCCAACCUACCGGUUAUUCCGGGAUAGCCUUUCGAAAGAAAGAUUAAUACCGGAUAGCAUAGCGAGAAGGCAUCUUCUUGUUAUUAAAGAAUUUCGAUGACCGAUGGGGAUGCGUUCCAUUAGUUGUUGGCGGGUAACGGCCCACCAAGACAUCGAUGGAUAGGGGUUCUGAGAGGAAGGUCCCCCACAUUGGAACUGAGACACGGUCCAAACUCCUACGGGAGGCAGCAGUGAGGAAUAUUGGUCAAUGGACGAGAGUCUGAACCAGCCAAGUAGCGUGGAAAAGGAUGACUGCCCUAUGGGUUGUAAACUUCUUUUAUAUGGGAAUAAAGUGAGCCACGUGUGGUCUUUUUGUAUGUACCAUACGAAUAAGGAUCGGCUAACUCCGUGCCAGCAGCAGC